UACCAGCACCCCGAGUGGUCGGGACGUUUAUUGGGCCUAAAGCAUCCGUAGCCGGUUCUACAAGUCUUCCGUUAAAUCCACCUGCUCAACAGAUGGGCUGCGGAAGAUACUACGUGGCUAGGAGGCGGGAGAGGCAAGCGGUACUCAGUGGGUAGGGGUAAAAUCCUUUGAUCCAUUGAAGACCACCAGUGGCGAAGGCGGCUUGCCAGAACGCGCUCGACGGUGAGGGAUGAAAGCUGGGGGAGCAAACCGG
Molecule: ribosomal RNA, 253 nt
Filed under: uncultured bacterium
Lineage: Bacteria
Description: partial 16S ribosomal RNA
Rfam family: Archaeal small subunit ribosomal RNA
Source: RNAcentral